RNAcentral lists this ribosomal RNA (245 nucleotides) under uncultured Lysinibacillus sp. RNAcentral's name for it is "partial 16S ribosomal RNA". It matches the Rfam family "Bacterial small subunit ribosomal RNA", at positions 524 to 768 of the family's 1533-position model. The record is from RNAcentral. Lineage: Bacteria; Bacillati; Bacillota; Bacilli; Caryophanales; Bacillaceae.
UACGUAGGUGGCAAGCGUUGUCCGGAAUUAUUGGGCGUAAAGCGCGCGCAGGCGGUCCUUUAAGUCUGAUGUGAAAUCUCGCGGCUCAACCGCGUGCGGUCAUUGGAAACUGGAGGACUUGAGUGCAGAAGAGGAAAGUGGAAUUCCAAGUGUAGCGGUGAAAUGCGUAGAGAUUUGGAGGAACACCAGUGGCGAAGGCGACUUUCUGGUCUGUAACUGACGCUGAGGCGCGAAAGCGUGGGGAG